This is a long non-coding RNA of Labrus mixtus (cuckoo wrasse), 2338 nucleotides long. RefSeq lists it as uncharacterized. Lineage: Eukaryota; Metazoa; Chordata; Actinopteri; Labriformes; Labridae. The transcript is spliced from 3 exons. The record is from RefSeq and is a predicted model, not a curated record.
GCCAGGUCCUGUACACACUGCUGCCUUCAAGGAGAAAUAUGAAGCUUCCACCACAGUCAAGUGCCUUGCUUUAGCUAGAAGCUACUUCAUUCUGCAGAUGGUGAAGCUGCUUUUGGCUGGGUCUGAUCUUCAUAGCUGAUAGCAGGGAGCCUGAAAGGCCGAUGAGAUGACUCCGGCUCCAACGUCCUUCGCCUCUAUCCAUGCAGCCCGGGUCCUGAGCUAGAUCUGCCCUUCCCUCCUAUGACUGUCCCUUUUCUGUCCUGCUACCCCUAUAGGAAUAACUCACUGUUUAAGCAGCGUGGAGCUAAACCUGAGCAUAGGUCUGCCUUUGUGCUAGCUAUGCAACUGAAGCAUUCGCUCUGGAGCCACUCACAAGGAAACGACAACUUUUAUUAAGCAUGGCAGAGGGGCUGUGGGGAGAGCAGAGAGAUGCUGGGUGCUACAUCACACAUCAGCUCUGCACUCGAUGCCCCAGCCAGAGGAAACACUCAGCUGUAACGCUCAGAGCAGUGUAGAGUGAGGGGUACAAAAAAAAACUCUGUAUUUAAUCUCCUUACCAUAACAACAACCAGAUCCCGAUGAAUUCAUACUGACCAAAGGAAAAAUGCAUAAAAUUCUCUAGGUGAAAUAACACCUUAAAUGCUUAAACCAUCUGUUUUUAAUUCUCGUGAACACGCAUUCUGUCUGUGCAGCGAUAUAAAACAGCACAGCUCCUCUUCCGUGCUCAUGCAGUCACUGUGGUUAGGUAAUGCAGAACCCGAGAGAAGAUGGCAGUGGCUACUGUCCUAAUGUGUAUUGCAGUAGAAGACAGGAUAAAUGUUCAUGGGUGCUUUUUCUCGCCAUCGCAGUAAGCGUGCAGACUGCAUGCGAGACUGAGGGGGAGAAAAGAGAGUCCUGCUAUCAGUGGGGACUCUCUGUGUACCUAUAUGCAGGCUGCUGAUUGAUGCAAAAGCAGCAGAUGCGUCAGCACUGCAGACUGCAGGGGGAGGGGAGGAAGCUGAACCCGACAUAGCACUGUGAGCCUCUCACCAGCCUCUGAGGACGGAAGCCGCUCUUUUAUUUACACAACCGAGUAAAGUCAUGUGACCGUGUCUGUGCUAUCGUCACACAGGCUGAAUCCCACUUUAAACCAUUUUCAAAGCCAUUUCAUUUAAUGUAUUGUUGACUUCAAAAGACAAAGCAGCAGGUGCUACAGUUUAUCAUUAUGCAUGCACUGACUCUUUGCCCUGAAGGGAGGAAACAGGCUAUUCGUGGAGCGUUUUGGCUUUUGUCUCUUUAAAAAUGAACUCAAUGAACCUUUGAAUCUUAGCUGUAGCUGUGUCGUUCUGUUCCCAUUUUUGUGCUCAGAACAUCACAUAAUGUUGUGGUUAUGAAUACACAAUUGACCUCAGGGUCCGUCUUAUAUUCUUGGUGCUCAAAUCAAGAACUGCUCACUUACAGACCACUACAUUAACAAGCGGAGCAGUCAGUGUGUUAGUUCGUCGAGUAGUUAAAUCUUAAAGCUUUUGUAAAAUUUGCCUAUAGUGUGACAAUCAAAAGUAACAGAAAAAAUGGUAUAAUAAAAGUGAUGAGGAAACUGUAGCUUAGAUGUGUUUUGUCUCAACUGUGGCAAAAAAAAAUCUACAUUUGGAAAAUUAGGGUUUGAGCUAGCCUGGAGGUGAAAAAGGGGAUAAAUAUGCAGCAACCUGCACAACUGACAGAGACGUAAAAAAAAAAAAAACUACACUAUCUCCAUAUGGACAAAACAUGUUGCAGUUGUAUUUCAAGAAAUACUUUGGUUGAAAUAUGUUAGGUUUUCUUCUUCGUACAUCUGAAACCUGAACAACAAGGUUUUGUUUAAAAAGAAUUAAAACAGUCUUUUAGUUUAAAUCUCCAUGAUGAUGUUGAUAGUGGAACGACUUUUAAAUCACAACAUUCUUACUCAUGGCUUCUUUGUACUGCCUAGGUCUCAUCUUACCUUUGUCAAUCCCUUGUUUUUUUACAGCAUGUAAUGUAAACCUUUUACACUAGGGGACUUAAAUGUAUCUCUGGUAAAAUGUCUCAUAGCUUUAGAUCAUUUUUAACUUCCCUAUUGUUUAACAUUAGCAGUCCAUUUGUAUCAGUGUUAUUUGUUUUAUACAUUUUAGACGUGGAAACCAUUAUAAAUGAUAAUAGAUAGAGCUGUUCUGUUUUUAUAUAUUUACAUCACAAAACGAUAUCUGAUCUGUCGGCCUCUUGUCCAUUGACAGUUAGGAUUAGCUCCAGACUCCCUGGAACACCCCAAGGUUAAGCAUUACAGAUAUUAGAUUGAUUGAUAAAACAGAUAUCCGGCUAACAUUAAAAGAGCAAAUGGAAAAUA